RNAcentral lists this non-coding RNA (31 nucleotides) under Homo sapiens (human). Lineage: Eukaryota; Metazoa; Chordata; Mammalia; Primates; Hominidae. The record is from RNAcentral.
UGCACUGUGCCAAGCUCUGCCAAUCUCGGUU